Molecule: ribosomal RNA, 414 nt
Filed under: Comamonadaceae bacterium
Lineage: Bacteria; Pseudomonadati; Pseudomonadota; Betaproteobacteria; Burkholderiales; Comamonadaceae
Description: bacterial SSU rRNA
Rfam family: Bacterial small subunit ribosomal RNA
Source: RNAcentral
GCCACUAAUAACAAUCCUGGUGGCGAGUGGCGAACGGGUGAGUAAUAUAUCGGAACGUGCCCAGUCGUGGGGGAUAACGCAGCGAAAGCUGUGCUAAUACCGCAUACGAUCUACGGAUGAAAGCGGGGGAUCGCAAGACCUCGCGCGAUUGGAGCGGCUGAUAUCAGAUUAGCUAGUUGGUGGGGUAAAGGCCUACCAAGGCGACGAUCUGUAGCUGGUCUGAGAGGACGACCAGCCACACUGGAACUGAGACACGGUCCAGACUCCUACGGGAGGCAGCAGUGGGGAAUUUUGGACAAUGGGCGCAAGCCUGAUCCAGCAAUGCCGCGUGCAGGAUGAAGGCCUUCGGGUUGUAAACUGCUUUUGUACGGAGCGAAAAGGUCUUUCUUAAUACGAGAGAUUUAUGACGGUACC